This 29-nucleotide small RNA is filed under the name Arabidopsis thaliana (thale cress). RNAcentral describes it as "ATSL011330". The record is from RNAcentral. Lineage: Eukaryota; Viridiplantae; Streptophyta; Magnoliopsida; Brassicales; Brassicaceae.
CUAAAGAGAAGAAGAAGAAGAAGAAAAAA